AAGUUAGUUUGCACUUUGCACUUUUGUGCAACGGUCAGGUUCAGUCAGUGUAUAGAUCUUCUACAAUCUUGUGUAGGUUACAGUAGAUCUAUUCCAACCAUUUUGGAAAGACACAGAGUGUUCAACCAAAGCACAAUGACGUUCAAAAUCUUACGCAGGGCGUUUUUGUCCCUUUCAAGAAUAUCGAAAGGUUCUCAAAUAUGCAAAAGGCCAUUUUCAACAACACAGCCAAAAAGAAUGUCCCAUCAAGAUUUCCAGCAGCAGGGCAUACCAGGCUCGAAUUUACCUUUUGGGAUUGGCUGCAAGUAUAAAACAACCAUUGGAUUUGCUAUCUUCUGGGGCAGCGCACUCACCGCCCCCUUCCUGAUAUACAGGAGAGUUUUGUGGCUGGCACAACCAGGAGAUGAAUCUCGGAGCCCUCAACAGCUGGCUAAAACCAUUUGCUGGGAAGACGUGGAUGAGGAAGAGGAAUAAAUUCACCACGCUUUCUUUGGGCUGGAGUCCAUGCAUUGUGGAAGAAGAAGUGCUGCAAAACAUUUCUAGGCCGUGUGCUGGGCUUGGCAUGACACAGUCUCAUUUCCAAUUUCCUGUUCUACAUUUGGUUUGAAUGUUGUGUUUGGACCGUGAUCAAGAAUGUUCACUGAAUAUAUAUUCCCUAACACGUCA
Molecule: long non-coding RNA, 666 nt
Organism: Aplysia californica (California sea hare)
Lineage: Eukaryota; Metazoa; Mollusca; Gastropoda; Aplysiida; Aplysiidae
Exons: 3
Source: RefSeq, a predicted model, not a curated record